UACGAAGGGGGCUAGCGUUGCUCGGAAUUACUGGGCGUAAAGCGCACGUAGGCGGUCUUUUAAGUCGGGGGUGAAAUCCUGGAGCUCAACUCCAGAACUGCCUUCGAUACUGGAAGACUUGAGUCCGGGAGAGGUGAGUGGAACUGCGAGUGUAGAGGUGAAAUUCGUAGAUAUUCGGAGGAACACCAGUGGCGAAGGCGGCUCACUGGCGCGGUACUGACGCUGAGGUGCGAAAGCGUGGGGAGCAAACAGG
RNAcentral lists this ribosomal RNA (253 nucleotides) under uncultured bacterium. RNAcentral describes it as "partial 16S ribosomal RNA". It matches the Rfam family "Bacterial small subunit ribosomal RNA", at positions 524 to 776 of the family's 1533-position model. The record is from RNAcentral.